UUUGACCUACGGGAGGCAGCAGUGAGGAAUAUUGGUCAAUGGGCGCGAGCCUGAACCAGCCAAGUCGCGUGAGGGAAUAAGGCCCUACGGGUCGUAAACCUCUUUUGCCGGGGGGCAAGGGCCGGGACGCGUCCCGGCCCGGAGAGUACCCGGAGAAAAAGCAUCGGCUAACUCCGUGCCAGCAGCCGCGGUAAUACGGAGGAUGCGAGCGUUAUCCGGAUUUAUUGGGUUUAAAGGGUGCGUAGGCGGGCUUUUAAGUCAGCGGUAAAAAUUCGGGGCUCAACCCCGUCCGGCCGUUGAAACUG
Molecule: ribosomal RNA, 305 nt
Filed under: uncultured bacterium
Lineage: Bacteria
Description: bacterial SSU rRNA
Rfam family: Bacterial small subunit ribosomal RNA
Source: RNAcentral